CCUUUAUUAAUGAUAUGAGCAGGCAAUCAUGAAAACGGCAUGGAGUGACAUAACCGCCCUUGUCAUGAUAAGCCACCCUUCUUAAUGGCCUGAUGUGACAAUCGCUUGGAGAUUUUGGAUUGAAGUCGUUAGGCACUUCGGCCGAACCAGGGAUUGAAGAGAGUAAGCCUUGGGGGCCGGUCACGUACCGCUAGAUGGCAUGAUCCGAUCAAUAGUUCAGAGGGACAUAACCCAUCACAAAGUGCCAUGAUCUGGUAGGACCACGAAGGGGUUACCUUUCUCCGAAACAUUUUGAUAUAGUCACUGG
Molecule: long non-coding RNA, 307 nt
Filed under: Elaeis guineensis (African oil palm)
Lineage: Eukaryota; Viridiplantae; Streptophyta; Magnoliopsida; Arecales; Arecaceae
Description: long non-coding RNA (EGUI_LNC017621)
Source: RNAcentral